CCCUAGGGUCGUAAAGCUCUUUCGCCAGGGAUGAUAAUGACAGUACCUGGUAAAGAAACCCCGGCUAACUCCGUGCCAGCAGCCGCGGUAAUACGGAGGGGGUUAGCGUUGUUCGGAAUUACUGGGCGUAAAGCGCGCGUAGGCGGAUUAGUCAGUCAGAGGUGAAAUCCCAGGGCUCAACCCUGGAACUGCCUUUGAUACUGCUAGUCUUGAGUUCGAGAGAGGUGAGUGGAAUUCCGAGUGUAGAGGUGAAAUUCGUAGAUAUUCGGAGGGACACCAGUGGCGAAGGCGGCUCACUGGCUCGAUACUGACGCUGAGGUGCGAAAGUGUGGGGAGCAAACAGGAUUAGAUACCCUGGUAGUCCACACCGUAAACGAUGAAUGCCAGUCGUCGGGAAGCAUGCUAUUCGGUGACACACCUAACGGAUUAAGC
Molecule: ribosomal RNA, 432 nt
Filed under: uncultured Alphaproteobacteria bacterium
Lineage: Bacteria; Pseudomonadati; Pseudomonadota; Alphaproteobacteria
Description: bacterial SSU rRNA
Rfam family: Bacterial small subunit ribosomal RNA
Source: RNAcentral